UACGUAGGGGGCUAGCGUUAUCCGGAUUUAUUGGGUUUAAAGGGUGCGUAGGCGGGCUUUUAAGUCAGCGGUAAAAAUUCGGGGCUCAACCCCGUCCGGCCGUUGAAACUGGGGGCCUUGAGUGGGCGAGAAGAAGGCGGAAUGCGUGGUGUAGCGGUGAAAUGCAUAGAUAUCACGCAGAACCCCGAUUGCGAAGGCAGCCUUCCGGCGCCCUACUGACGCUGAGGCACGAAAGUGCGGGGAUCGAACAGG
RNAcentral lists this ribosomal RNA (252 nucleotides) under uncultured bacterium. Its description in RNAcentral is "partial 16S ribosomal RNA". It matches the Rfam family "Bacterial small subunit ribosomal RNA", at positions 524 to 776 of the family's 1533-position model. The record is from RNAcentral.